AUUUUCGAAACUUUUCUCAAAGCUUCCAUAGAAACGAACGUAGAAACGAGCUAAAAAAAUGAAUUUUGCAGAUAUAAAUAACUUGAUGCCUAUUUUUUAUCUCUAAUCUGCAAAUAAUAUCGUGAUUAAUUUUUUAACUUCGUUCAUUCAUUUGAUAACAACAAAAUAGUUUUUAACCAAAGAUGAUGUAGAGAAAAAAACCCGAAAUAUUUCUUACUGUUUAUUGAAUAUUGCGUGCCAAAUAUUUUGAUUAUGAGUCGUUAUGAAGAUUGUAUAAGCUCGGAUUCCGAUAGUGAUUCCUAUGUUAGCGGCGACGAAGAACAAUCGGAAGCUACUGGAGGAGCUGGUGUUCUUACUCUCGAGGACGAUGAGGACACUACUCUCAUUCAACAAAAUGAACAAGUUCUAGUUCAAGCAAUGGACGUAUACGGAGAAGAACACGAAGAAGAAACUAUUAAUGAAACAACAAAUGAGAAGGAAGAAAUAACGGAAGAAACAACGGAGGAUGAUGAUAAGCCAAAAAAGAAGAAAAAAAAGAAAAAAAAGUUCUUGUAUAUCUGUCUAACAUCCUGCAAAUACGAUUCUGUUAGAAGAGUCAGUCGAAGAGUGGGCUUUAAAGAGGUGGGAGAAGACGAAGAUUGGAACCUAUACUGGACUGAUCAGUCUGUUGCCUUAGAAAGAGUUAUGGAAAUGAAAAGAUAUCAAAAGAUUAACCAUUUUCCUGGUAUGGCGGAAAUUUGUCGGAAAGAUUUAUUGGCAAGGAAUUUGAAUAGAAUGAUAAAACUAUUCCCGAAAGAGUACAAUGUCUUUCCAAAAUCAUGGUGCUUACCCGCCGAUUAUGGAGAUUUACAAGCUUAUUCAAGGGCUAAGCGGCAUAAAACUUACAUUCUCAAACCUGAAAGCGGUUGUCAAGGCAAGGGAAUUUGGGUUACUAAGAACACCAAAGAAAUUAAAGCUCACGAACACAUGUUAUGCCAAAUAUAUGUAUCUAAGCCAUUUCUAAUCGAUGGCUUCAAGUUUGAUUUGAGAAUUUAUGUCCUAGUAACAUCAUGUGAUCCGUUUAGGAUUUUUGUUUUCAAAGAUGGAUUAGCCCGCUUCGCCACUCAAAAAUAUUUGGAUCCCACUCAUGCCAAUGUCGAUAACGUCUUUAUGCACUUAACAAACUACGCAAUAAACAAGAACAGUAAAGAUUUCAUAAGAGAUGACGAGGCCGGAAGUAAACGACGAAUAACGACUAUUAAUAAAUGGUUUGUCAAGAAUGGUUACGACAUCGAUCAAAUUUGGAGGGAUGUUGACGAUGUAAUAAUAAAGACGCUUGUUUCGGCCUACGGCGUUCUUAAACAUAAUUAUCGAACUUGUUUUCCUAACCAUUUUAAAUCCUCGGCUUGCUUUGAAAUUCUUGGAUUUGAUGUCAUGUUCGAUAAAAAACUUCGACCAUACGUUCUGGAAGUGAAUCAUAGUCCUAGUUUUCAUACAGAUGCCAAAUUGGAUAAAGAAAUAAAGGAAGCUCUCCUGCAUGAUACCAUGGUAUUAAUUAACGUCGGUGCCAUCGAUAAAAAGAAGGUUAUGGAAGAGGAAAGGAAAAAGGUAAAAGAACGACUGCUUCAUAAGGGAUCAAAAAAAGCAACCAGGGAACAAAUGGAUGCGGCCAUAAGUAGUCACUUAGAGCAACUUGAAAAGUUUGAAGACGCUCAUUUAGGUAAUUUUAGAAGAAUUUAUCCUAUGCGGGGUUCGGAAAAGUAUGACAAAUUCUUUCAAACUUCUGGUUCUCUUUAUCAAGAAACUGCUGCCUUUAAAGCUCGCUCUGAAGCUGCGAGAAUUCAAAGGGAAGAAAUUAAAAGAAAACAGGAAAAACUCGACAGUAUUCUCAAAAAGAAGACGAGUGGUCGUGAUCCCUCAGAGCUCCGACCAGAGUCUCCAGGAGGAGGUGCCCGUCCAAAAUUAUUGACCAAAAGAUUAUCUAACCCAGGUACCAAACCAGUGAGAAGAUUUACAAAUGGUACAGUACAAAGAGCAGAAAACAAAGUAAUAUCGAACAAUGAAGUUCUCGUCGAGACCGUUCCAAUUGAUUCAAGUAUACCAGGAGCAAUAGUUGACGAUGAGGAACUAGAGCGUAUAAGUGGCUUAAUGCAAAGGGAUAAUCUCGUUAGAGGUCUGGGAGUGGUGGAGCACGUUUACAGACUACUCCAUGCUACUCCAGGUACGAGUGGAGGUCAUUACCACAGUCAGAAUAAAAAUCAUUCUUCUCAACCAAGGUUACACAGCGUAAGUUUCCAAAAAUUCUUUUUUUAAUUAAGUUGAGCUGUUUCUUUUAUCAAGUGUCCCAGGAUUAUUUUUUUAUAACAUGUCUUAGUCGGUAAAAAUAACCACUCUUAAAAAUUUAUGAAUCAAUUAUCUUGUUCAAUUUUUUGCUUAUGUACCUUUUGCUUAAUUUAUUUGAGAGCAUAUUUUUAUAGCCCAUUUAUAGCAUAUUUUAUAGUUCAAUUAACUUGAUAGUAGUGUAGCAAAACAUUUUGAAGAAAAAUAGUGAUCAUCACUUAUUUUUCUUAUUGGAUAUUAUAAUUCCUAAUCCUAACAGUUCAUUUGACUUUUUUUUAAAUAAAAUUUCAAAAGUUACCUAAAAGAAGAGCCCGCCGCCUCCCUGGACUACAAUUCUUUCGAAAGGACCACCGUAAAGUGGCUCCUCUAGCUCAAGCAAUGAUCGGUCAACCUAAUGGAGAGGAAUCAACUUCUGAUGAUGACAUUGAGGCCAACAUCUCAUCUCAUAGGCCUCUCCCGUAUGCGCAGGUGACGGCACGACAAAAAAAGCACUAUUCCCUGCCACGCCAUCUAGCGCUAUAGCAAUUUGUUUUGUUUUUAGUUACAAAUCAUUUCAGGCUAACUUGAUUGAUAUGUUUGUGAUGUUCCAAUAAUAGCUUAUCACUCCUAAUAAUUAUUAAUAUGUCUCAUCAAAGUGUUUGCAUCUGCAACGAUAAAAUAAUUAAAACAUAAUGAUCUUCUUAAGGCUCUUUCGAUUGAGUGUCAUUAAAUUAAUCAUUUUCGUUGAUUUUGCAGGUGUCAUCUGAUGACGUUUCAAAAAGGAUCGAAGGAACUCUUGGAGGGGGAGGUCGUAUGCUGUACACUACUCAUCAUCAACCUCUAAAACCGAUCCAAAGAGAGAAUAAGAACAAAUCAAUCACCGAUCCUCAAUGGCGUUUAGCCCUGGCGCCUCAAAUGAACGAUUCCAUUCGUUUACGACCAAAAGGAAGAGACAAAGAUUUGGAAAUUCAUAGAAAGACAUCUAGUCAUGGAUCAAGAAAGGAAUCUGGCGUAAGUUCUAAUUGUAAGUAUUAUUUUGAGCGCGUACCAGCUUGAUUUUGUCAACGCUAUAGCUGGAAAAAGUUAUGCCGUUUAUGAUUUCUUUUUGUUAUUAUUUAGUUUACGGAUUAGAAUUCUUCCCUUAUUAUUAGGACUGUAUAAAUAUAAUAUAUAAAAAAGAACAGUUAUUUCUGUUGAACAGCUUACAGACUUAUUUAAUACGGUUUUGUCAAAGAUUAUUGAUUUCUAUUAAAGCCUAGAAUAUUUUGUAUUUAUCUAUCUCUCCCUCAAAGAUAUUCUAUCUGCUAAGGAUUAAUAGAACUCUUUUUGUGAUUUUAGCGAAAACGCCCAGAAUUUCUAGUGGACCGUCAGCACCUGCGAUAACUCAUUCGUUCUUAACUGCAGCUCCUCAUGUGCUCUGCGAUUCUGCAUUGUCGGUCGUCUCGGCUCCCGCGCCGGUAAUGAUGAGACCUGAUCAAGUAACGCCUCCUCCAAUAGACGCUUUUCGUCAGAAGAGGCACGCUAUCAGGCAAAUCGACCAACAAGUCAUCGCUUAUAGGUGAUAGUUACCUCCAGUUUUCUUUCUUAUAGAUUUAUUGUGAUGAUGGACAAAAAAUCCAAGCAACAACAAAACAACAAAAACUCUUUUCCGUCCAGCAUUUUUUCAAAAAUAAUACAGAAAAAAAUCUCUCAAUAAUCUAUACUUCUUUGAUAUAAUAUAAUACUCAUAUUAUAUAAAUUUAUUGUACUGAUAUUUAUACUUUUUUCCCCUGCCAAUCGUUUAUUCUCACUUUUAAUCGAUCUUUUCCUUCUCUCUUCCUCUCUUUUCUCUCUUUUUCUUUCUUUCUUUUCAUGAAAAUCGCAAAUGAAGGCUUUUUUUAUUUUAUUACAAAAAAAACAGAGAAGAAUGACUGAUGACUUUAUACAUCAACUUUACUAAUAAUGCAUGAUUUCUUAUUAGAGAUUCAAUAAACUAUUUAUACUUGUAAAAAU
Molecule: unclassified non-coding RNA, 4290 nt
Filed under: Dimorphilus gyrociliatus
Lineage: Eukaryota; Metazoa; Annelida; Polychaeta; Dinophilidae
Description: dgyrCDS9842
Source: RNAcentral